AAUAAGUGCAGCCAUAAUUUUCCGCGCCCAACUUUAACUAUUCGUCUUAUUUAAUUUUUUUUAAAAAAAUUAAAAACAUAAGUCACGAGUAAAGCACUAUUCAUGUUUUAUCAUCUCAUAACAACAAAAAUACUAAUUAUAAAAAAAUUUUAAAUAAGAUGGACGAUUAAAAUUGAACGCAAAAAUUUAUGGCUGCACUUAUU
RNAcentral lists this microRNA precursor (203 nucleotides) under Oryza barthii. Its description in RNAcentral is "MIR812 microRNA precursor family". It matches the Rfam family "MIR812 microRNA precursor family". The record is from Rfam by way of RNAcentral. Lineage: Eukaryota; Viridiplantae; Streptophyta; Magnoliopsida; Poales; Poaceae.